Molecule: unclassified non-coding RNA, 377 nt
Filed under: uncultured fungus
Lineage: Eukaryota; Fungi
Description: sequence contains ITS1
Rfam family: 5.8S ribosomal RNA (bases 1-104)
Source: RNAcentral
GAAAUGCGAUACGUAAUGUGAAUUGCAAAUUUCGUGAAUCAUCGAAUCUUUGAACGCAUAUUGCACUUCUUGGUAUCCCGAGAAGUAUGCCUGUUUGAGAAUCAUUUUCAACCUUCACCCUUUAGUGGGUGGAUUUGAGUACUUGUCCUUUGGGCAUUACUUUGAACAUAGUGUUUUGAACUAAAGGUCAUUAAAUGCCUUUAAGCGUUAUUCAUUUGGGGACUCUGGUCUUCAAUUUUCGCCUAAAGUGCAGACUUGAAGUAAGAAACUCACUGAAACUGAAGCUUUAAACCUUUAGACCCUUUCUCAGUCAAAACUCUGGUUAAGACUUUGAACUACUUGGUCUCAAAUCAGGCAAGAGUACCCGCUGAACUUAA